AAUGGGUCAGCGACUUAUAUUCUGUAGCAAGGUUAACCGAAUAGGGGAGCCGAAGGGAAACCGAGUCUUAACUGGGCGUUAAGUUGCAGGGUAUAGACCCGAAACCCGGUGAUCUAGCCAUGGGCAGGUUGAAGGUUGGGUAACACUAACUGGAGGACCGAACCGACUAAUGUUGAAAAAUUAGCGGAUGACUUGUGGCUGGGGGUGAAAGGCCAAUCAAACCGGGAGAUAGCUGGUUCUCCCCGAAAGCUAUUUAGGUAGCGCCUCGUGAAUUCAUCUCCGGGGGUAGAGCACUGUUUCGGCAAGGGGGUCAUCCCGACUUACCAACCCGAUGCAAACUGCGAAUACCGGAGAAUGUUAUCACGGGAGACACACGGCGGGUGCUAACGUCCGUCGUGAAGAGGGAAACAACCCAGACCGCCAGCUAAGGUCCCAAAGUCAUGGUUAAGUGGGAAACGAUGUGGGAAGGCCCAGACAGCCAGGAUGUUGGCUUAGAAGCAGCCAUCAUUUAAAGAAAGCGUAAUAGCUCACUGGUCGAGUCGGCCUGCGCGGAAGAUGUAACGGGGCUAAACCAUGCACCGAAGCUGCGGCAGCGACACUGUGUGUUGUUGGGUAGGGGAGCGUUCUGUAAGCCUGUGAAGGUGUACUGUGAGGUAUGCUGGAGGUAUCAGAAGUGCGAAUGCUGACAUAAGUAACGAUAAAGCGGGUGAAAAGCCCGCUCGCCGGAAGACCAAGGGUUCCUGUCCAACGUUAAUCGGGGCAGGGUGAGUCGACCCCUAAGGCGAGGCCGAAAGGCGUAGUCGAUGGGAAACAGGUUAAUAUUCCUGUACUUGGUGUUACUGCGAAGGGGGGACGGAGAAGGCUAUGUUGGCCGGGCGACGGUUGUCCCGGUUUAAGCGUGUAGGCUGGUUUUCCAGGCAAAUCCGGAAAAUCAAGGCUGAGGCGUGAUGACGAGGCACUACGGUGCUGAAGCAACAAAUGCCCUGCUUCCAGGAAAAGCCUCUAAGCAUCAGGUAACAUCAAAUCGUACCCCAAACCGACACAGGUGGUCAGGUAGAGAAUACCAAGGCGCUUGAGAGAACUCGGGUGAAGGAACUAGGCAAAAUGGUGCCGUAACUUCGGGAGAAGGCACGC
This 1134-nucleotide ribosomal RNA is filed under the name Escherichia coli. Its description in RNAcentral is "partial 23S ribosomal RNA". It matches the Rfam family "Bacterial large subunit ribosomal RNA", at positions 614 to 1751 of the family's 2925-position model. The record is from RNAcentral. Lineage: Bacteria; Pseudomonadati; Pseudomonadota; Gammaproteobacteria; Enterobacterales; Enterobacteriaceae.